GAGACAAGUUGUUAACCGGCCAAUUGUAGUCUCAAAACUAUACAAUCAGAAUUUCUCGACAUAAUAAUUCAUAUUGAUUAUGUUGCCAUUAAAAAUUUCGCGUUGUAAAAUUUGUACAAAUUUAAUAACAUUUGCUUUCCGUUAAACAAUUAAUGCGUUCUAGAAUUCCGUCAUCCAUCACAAUUACCCAAAUUGUAGUUUUUUAUUAAAAAUAACGAAUGAUUAUUGACGGAUUUUCUAUUAUGCAGCCAAAUCUAUCACCAACAACAAAGUAAACCGAGAGUGAGAUAUAUAUGUUUGGAGGAGUGUACAUACAUACAAUUUCAAUGCGCAGAACAUAUGUAGUUCGCCUGGUAUUUCAGCCGAAUUUUUAUUCCGAUCUGGAGACCCAGCUGCUUGUCGGUCUCAAUGAACUUUGGCGGCCGUUAAAUUAAAAUAUUAAUUGAUAGCAAACGGAUAAGGGCGAAGUACUCAAAUUCCUUGAUAUCCCUGAACUCGGCCGUAUCAUUGAAGGUCCCAUCGUGUCCUGUUUCAAACAACUUCCAUAGACAAGAGGUGUAAGCUGGUUCAAGGACAUUGAACUUGUCCUUAUGGAUUCCGAGAUGUCAAGGAUUU
Molecule: long non-coding RNA, 615 nt
Organism: Drosophila montana
Lineage: Eukaryota; Metazoa; Arthropoda; Insecta; Diptera; Drosophilidae
Exons: 3
Source: RefSeq, a predicted model, not a curated record